AUUGAACGCUGGCGGCAUGCUUUACACAUGCAAGUCGAACGGUAACAGGGAGCUUGCUCCGCUGACGAGUGGCGAACGGGUGAGUAAUAUAUCGGAACGUACCCAAGAGUGGGGGAUAACGUAGCGAAAGUUACGCUAAUACCGCAUACGAUCUAUGGAUGAAAGCAGGGGACCUUCGGGCCUUGUGCUCCUGGAGCGGCCGAUAUCUGAUUAGCUAGUUGGUGAGGUAAAGGCUCGCCAAGGCGACGAUCAGUAGCUGGUCUGAGAGGACGACCAGCCACACUGGAACUGAGACACGGUCCAGACUCCUACGGGAGGCAGCAGUGGGGAAUUUUGGACAAUGGGCGCAAGCCUGAUCCAGCAAUGCCGCGUGAGUGAAGAAGGCCUUCGGGUUGUAAAGCUCUUUUGUCAGGGAAGAAACGGCUGUGGCUAAUAUCCACGGCUAAUGACGGUACCUGAAGAAUAAGCACCGGCUAACUACGUG
Molecule: ribosomal RNA, 484 nt
Filed under: uncultured bacterium
Lineage: Bacteria
Description: partial 16S ribosomal RNA
Rfam family: Bacterial small subunit ribosomal RNA
Source: RNAcentral